This is a long non-coding RNA of Megalops cyprinoides (Indo-Pacific tarpon), 273 nucleotides long. RefSeq lists it as uncharacterized. The transcript has 3 exons. The record is from RefSeq and is a predicted model, not a curated record. NCBI's taxonomy places the organism in Eukaryota, Metazoa, Chordata, Actinopteri, Elopiformes, Megalopidae.
GGUGCAGCAGAGCUGGGCUGGGCCCUUGCGGCACCCCGGCUCUCAGGGUCUGCCCAGACGCCCCAAAUCCUGUCAGCCAGUGAAAGAAGAGGAGGACAGCGAUGAGGAAGUGCGCAGGGCCCCAAUCGAGCUGUUUGCUGAGUUCCUGAAGUCGGUAAUGGAUAAGAAUUACGUCCUUGCAAAGAAACUCUGCCAAAUGAUUCUUAUUUAUGAGCCUGAGAACCCAGAGGCCAAACAAUUCAUUCCCCUCAUUGAAGAGAAGUUGCUUUUAGG